GCAUGAUCAUCAUCUUUACAGAAUUGCAACAUCUCUUUCAGAGUUUUUAUAUUCGACUCUGGAUCUGCCAGCAAUGCGAUGCCCAGCUCUGCUAAUUUAAGCUUCUUGUUUUCAAACACUUCUUCAGCAGUGAGAUCUUCUUUCACCUUGGCCAGCACAGCGGCUUGUGGGGUUUCUUGCACUUCUUCUGUCUUCCCCAACUCCUUCCCUUGUUUCUUUGCCUCUUUCUUGCUUUUUUUCAGCUUUGCCCUCCUUUCUGCUUUCGUCAGUCUCACUAUACCCUUAUCAGCGCCGGAAUCAUCCUUCUCAUCAUCUGCGUCCCGACCAUUUUCAGAU
RNAcentral lists this unclassified non-coding RNA (336 nucleotides) under Hevea brasiliensis (rubber tree). The record is from RNAcentral. Lineage: Eukaryota; Viridiplantae; Streptophyta; Magnoliopsida; Malpighiales; Euphorbiaceae.